Molecule: ribosomal RNA, 284 nt
Filed under: uncultured prokaryote
Description: partial 16S ribosomal RNA
Rfam family: Bacterial small subunit ribosomal RNA
Source: RNAcentral
UACGUAGGGGCUAGCGUUAUCCGGAUUUACUGGGCGUAAAGGGUGCGUAGGUGGUUUCUUAAGUCAGGAGUGAAAGGCUACGGCUUAACCGUAGUAAGCUCUUGAAACUGGGAAACUUGAGUGCAGGAGAGGAAAGUGGAAUUCCUAGUGUAGCGGUGAAAUGCGUAGAUAUUAGGAGGAACACCAGUAGCGAAGGCGGCUUUCUGGACUGUAACUGACACUGAGGCACGAAAGCGUGGGGAGCAAACAGGAUUAGAUACCCCUGUAGUCCCUGAGCGGGCUGG